CUGACAUGAAGCUAGGCCAGCAAACCUGCUGAAUUUAAGCAUAUGAGUAAGCGGAGGAUAAGAAGCUAAAAAGGAUUCCCUCAGUAAUGGCGAAUGAACAGGGACAUGCUCAGCAUGAAAAUCGGGGCCUGCGGGCCUGAGUUGUAGUCUCGGGAGAUACUGCCAACAGAGGCGCUGCUGUAUGUCUCUUGGAAAUGAGUAUCAAUGAGGGCGAGGGUCCUGUUUGUCAGUGGCAGCCCACUGUGCACGGUGUACAUUCUAAGAGUCACGUUCCUUGGGAUUGGAGUGCAAUGCGGGUGGUAAGCUUCAUCCAAAGCUACAUAUGGGCUCAAGACCGAUAGCAAACAAGUACCAUGAGGGAAAGGUGAAAAGGACUUUGAAAAGAAAGGUAACAGUGCCUGAAAUCGCUGAAAAGGAAGUGAGCGAAGCCAAUGUGUCUUGGUGAGAUUGCUGCACACAAGUGCCAUUUGCUUGCUGCGCCAGCACACGUGUGGCAGUAAGUCUUGCGCAGGUUGCGUGCAGUGCUUUUUGCCUUGCCUGUCAACGUCGCUUCACGCUUGAGGAAGAUUUCAAGGACAUGGUAGCUCCCCCCAAAGGGGCGAAUAUCUUCAGUGUACUCAUGCGAGGGGUGCUCGGAGAGUAAAUGGCAGCGCUCGACCCGUCUUGAAACACGGACCAAGGAGUCUAACCUGUAUGCAAGCUUGUGGAUGGAGAAGGUUUUUGUGCACAAUGAAAGUUACUGCUGGGAUUUUUGCACCAGCCACCGACCUAUCAAUUGAGAGAGGUUUGAGUAUGAGCAUAUUUGUUAGGACCCGAAAGAUGGUGAACUACGCCUGUGAAGGGCAAGCUCAGGGGAAACUCUGAUGGAGGCUCAUAGCGAAACUGACGUGCAAAUCGUUCGUCAUACAUGGGUAUAGGGGCGAAAGACUAAUCGAACCAUCUAGUAGCUGGUUCCCUCCGAAGUUUCCCUCAGGAUAGCUGGAGUUGAUCAGUUUUAUCAGGUAAAGCCAAUGACUAGAGGAAUUGGGGACGCCUUGUCUUUGACCUAUUCUCAAACUUUAAAUGGGUAGGAUCCAGUGGUUACUUUGAUGAACUUCAGGGAUAAAUGACAACUCGAAGUGGGCCAUUUUUGGUAAGCAGAACUGGCGAUGAGGGAUGAACCUAACAUUGGGUCAAGGUGCUCAACUGCUCGCUCAUCAGAUACCAUAAAGGGUGUUGGUUCAUUU
RNAcentral lists this ribosomal RNA (1226 nucleotides) under Peridinium bipes f. globosum. RNAcentral describes it as "eukaryotic LSU rRNA". It matches the Rfam family "Eukaryotic large subunit ribosomal RNA", at positions 1 to 1234 of the family's 3401-position model. The record is from RNAcentral. Lineage: Eukaryota; Dinophyceae; Peridiniales; Peridiniaceae.